UACUCCUACGGGAGGCAGCAGUGGGGAAUAUUGGACAAUGGACCGAGAGUCUGAUCCAGCAAUUCUGUGUGCACGAUGAAGUUUUUCGGAAUGUAAAGUGCUUUCAGUUGGGAAGAAAGAAAUGACGGUACCAACAGAAGAAGUGACGGCUAAAUACGUGCCAGCAGCCGCGGUAAUACGUAUGUCACGAGCGUUAUCCGGAUUUAUUGGGCGUAAAGCGCGUCUAGGUGGUUAUGUAAGUCUGAUGUGAAAAUGCAGGGCUCAACUCUGUAUUGCGUUGGAAACUGUAUAACUAGAGUACUGGAGAGGUAAGCGGAACUACAAGUGUAGAGGUGAAAUUCGUAGAUAUUUGUAGGAAUGCCGAUGGGGAAGCCAGCUUACUGGACAGAUACUGACGCUGAAGCGCGAAAGCGUGGGUAGCAAACAGGAUUAGAUACCCUGGUAGUCCACGCCGUAAACGAUGAUUACUAGGUGUUGGGGGUCGAACCUCAGCGCCCAAGCAAACGCGAUAAGUAAUCCGCCUGGGGAGUACGUACGCAAGUAUGAAACUCAAAUGAAUUGACGGA
This 566-nucleotide ribosomal RNA is filed under the name uncultured bacterium. RNAcentral's name for it is "bacterial SSU rRNA". It matches the Rfam family "Bacterial small subunit ribosomal RNA", at positions 334 to 917 of the family's 1533-position model. The record is from RNAcentral.